RNAcentral lists this long non-coding RNA (1608 nucleotides) under Venturia canescens. Its description in RNAcentral is "uncharacterized LOC122407100". Lineage: Eukaryota; Metazoa; Arthropoda; Insecta; Hymenoptera; Ichneumonidae. The record is from RNAcentral.
AUCGAGAGGCCGUCCGAGUUUACGCGUCCACAAUUCCCCGGAGAAUCGGGGCCCAUAACAUUUUCAUGGUUUUCCUUGCGAGGAACGAGCGCCACCGUUUUGGUGCCGAACAAUUUUUCAUGACACGUUCUUUUUUCCCUAAGUACGCCAGCAGCGAGGAAAGAAUGAAAAAAAGGAAGAAGACGAGGAAGAAGCAGAAGAGGAAGAAGAAAAAAGUACGUUAGAGCAUCGGGGGAUGAAAGUGGGUAUAUGGACGACGUUGGGGAAGGAAAAGGUGGAAUUUUCCGCGAGGCUUAUAUCCAAGGGACACUCGGCAGGGUCAUAAAGCCCGGCAACGCGGGGAACCGAUGGCGACCGAAACAAUAACUUUUCUCCGUCGACGCGGCAAUAACGGCGAUAAACCAAUUUGGAUAGGAUUCGGGAUGCUUUUCGAAGGAACACAAUGCCGGGAACGCUUACACCAGUAUUGGAACUUUCGCCAGAGAGAUGCAGCAAGAGAUCUUGUAUCGCAUCGAGAGUCGUUCAACCCUGGCGCACGGAAUAACGGGACGCGGGAGACGGGGAUCAUCACCCACCAGGCACUCCCGCCGCCUACGUGUGCUCCAGCACCGCUGCUCCCUCGGAUAGUGUCCUUUCCGCUUUAAGGGGGCGCUGCCCCUGUGUACAUACCGCUACAGUAUCAACUGACGGCGAGAAUAUCAUCCGAGAGCUAAGGAAAAGAGAGUCUCCGAGGAAGAUUUUUCAUUCAUGCCAUUUCGAGCGUAAGAGGAAAAAUGAUAAAAGAAAGCAAGUUCAUCCAGAUAGACGUAAAACAAUUCCGAGCUGGAAUUUUCGACCCCGUGAUUCCAGCGAUGAGAUCUAUUUUCUAACUUCAACUCACCGAGCGUCCUUCCUCGCUUACCCUCUGUAAAUUAGUCCGCAAUAUCGGAGCUUCCUCAAAAAAAUUGGUCUGCAAGGAAAAACAAAAAGAGCACGAGCAGCCGAACUACAAUCGUUGACCCAGAGGCCUCGAUUCGAUGGAUUUUUCCUGACAAUGACUCGACAAUUUUCUCCACUUUGACAUAGGCUCUGCAAGGGCCAAAUACGGGGGCCAAGGAAGACAUUUUAGUACGGAGUCAUUGGAUCUUUUUUCUUAUCACGAUGAAACUACGAUUUGUGCUGAUGAGUACGAUCGAUCGAAAGGUCGGACGCGAUAAAGUUCAUCAGCGACAGGGUGCGAGCAGGGGACGAUCUCCGUUUACGUACAAAUUCACAGAAACAAAUUACACGUGUAGUUAAGGAGGGCCAUUGAGACGAGAAGUGAGAAAAUAGGAGCUCGUAUACAGAGACGUGUUUACCGAACACAUAUUCAUGGGCGUUUAUGCUGAUGGAAAUACGGAGAUUACUCCCCGCGGCCUUUCAACCGGAGACAUUUUCGCGAUGGAAACGAAUUUUCGUGGCAAUCGUCGGCAUGGAUUCAAUCAAACGGUGCAGGACUCGGCCUGAUGUCCGCGACUUUGGCAUCUGAAUUGGUUCUAACGACGACCAACUCUACCGAGAGAUGACGAAGUACAGUACUUCGUCCUGAAAUCGAGAUUAACGAAUUUUAGCCUACAAUUACAGUUUUUA